Molecule: ribosomal RNA, 403 nt
Filed under: Tremella lobariacearum
Lineage: Eukaryota; Fungi; Basidiomycota; Tremellomycetes; Tremellales; Tremellaceae
Description: eukaryotic LSU rRNA
Rfam family: Eukaryotic large subunit ribosomal RNA
Source: RNAcentral
AAUCUGACCUCAAAUCAGGUAGGGCUACCCGCUGAACUUAAGCAUAUCAAUAAGCGGAGGAAAGGAAACUAACAAGGAUUCCCUUAGUAACGGCGAGUGAACCGGGAAGAGCUCAAAUUUGUAAUCUGGCGUGCUCUGUGCGUCCGAGUUGUAAUCUAUAGAAGUGUUUUCCGUGCCGGAUCGUGUCCAAGUUCCUUGGAAUAGGAUAUCAUAGAGGGUGACAAUCCCGUCCUUGACACGACUACCGGUGCUCUGUGAUACACUUUCUACGAGUCGAGUUGUUUGGGAAUGCAGCUCAAAAUGGGUGGUGAGUUCCAUCUAAAGCUAAAUAUUGGCGAGAGACCGAUAGCGAACAAGUACCGUGAGGGAAAGAUGAAAAGCACUUGAAAGAGAGUAAACAGUA